UACGUAGGUUGCGAGCGUUGUCCGGAAUCACUGGGCGUAAAGGGCGCGUAGGCGGCAAUACAAGUCGCAUGUGAAAUACCAGGGCUCAACCCUGGGGUGUCAUGCGAAACUGUAUAGCUUGAGUGCAGUAGAGGUAAGCGGAAUUCCUGGUGUAGCGGUAAAAUGCGUAGAGAUCAGGAGGAACACCGGUGGCGAAGGCGGCUUACUGGGCUGCAACUGACGCUGAGGCGCGAAAGCGUGGGGAGCAAACAGG
RNAcentral lists this ribosomal RNA (253 nucleotides) under uncultured bacterium. RNAcentral describes it as "partial 16S ribosomal RNA". It matches the Rfam family "Bacterial small subunit ribosomal RNA", at positions 524 to 776 of the family's 1533-position model. The record is from RNAcentral.